RNAcentral lists this long non-coding RNA (222 nucleotides) under Lathyrus oleraceus (garden pea). RNAcentral describes it as "Pisum sativum (pea) long non-coding RNA (PSAT_LNC016954)". Lineage: Eukaryota; Viridiplantae; Streptophyta; Magnoliopsida; Fabales; Fabaceae. The record is from RNAcentral.
AUAAAUGAACACAGUGGGCUUAACACACAAUGAAAGCCCAAUAUCUUUUCCAAAUAAUAACCUAUAAUAAUCAUGAAAAAGAAGUAAAACAAUAAUUUAAAAGAAAACAAAAUAAAAAGAAACAUAAACCAUUUCUAAUGGGAUCUAAACACUCCAAUUAACUUGUCUAAAAAAACAGAUAAUUUGAAACCCACCAAUAUUAACUGGGUAAAAAGAAUGAAA